UACGGAGGGUGCAAGCGUUAUCCGGAUUCACUGGGUUUAAAGGGUGCGUAGGAGGGCAGGGAAGUCCGUGGUGAAAUCUCCGAGCUUAACUCGGAAACUGCCGUGGAUACUCUCUGUCUUGAAUCCCGUGGAGAUGAGCGGAAUAUGUCAUGUAGCGGUGAAAUGCAUAGAUAUGACCCGGAACACCUAUUGCGAAGGCAGCAGGCUAAACAAAGAUUGACGCUGAGGCUCGAAAGCGUGGGGAUCAAACAGG
This 253-nucleotide ribosomal RNA is filed under the name uncultured bacterium. RNAcentral's name for it is "partial 16S ribosomal RNA". It matches the Rfam family "Bacterial small subunit ribosomal RNA", at positions 524 to 776 of the family's 1533-position model. The record is from RNAcentral.